GUGGGGAAUAUUGGACAAUGGGCGAAAGCCUGAUCCAGCCAUGCGGCGUGUGUGAAGAAGGUCUUCGGAUUGUAAAGCACUUUAAGUUGGGAGGAAGGGUAGUAACCUAAUACGUUGCUACUUUGACGUUACCGACAGAAUAAGCACCGGCUAACUUCGUGCCAGCAGCCGCGGUAAUACGAAGGGUGCAAGCGUUAAUCGGAAUUACUGGGCGUAAAGCGCGCGUAGGUGGUUCAGUAAGUUGGAAGUGAAAUCCCCGGGCUCAACCUGGGAACUGCUUUCAAAACUGCUGAGCUAGAGUACGGUAGAGGGUGGUGGAAUUUCCUGUGUAGCGGUGAAAUGCGUAGAUAUAGGAAGGAACACCAGUGGCGAAGGCGACUACCUGGACUGAUACUGACACUGAGGUGCGAAAGCGUGGGGAGCAAACAGGAUUAGAAACCCUGGUAGUCC
RNAcentral lists this ribosomal RNA (450 nucleotides) under uncultured bacterium. Its description in RNAcentral is "partial 16S ribosomal RNA". It matches the Rfam family "Bacterial small subunit ribosomal RNA", at positions 354 to 796 of the family's 1533-position model. The record is from RNAcentral.